GACGAACGCUGGCGGCGUGCUUAACACAUGCAAGUCGAGCGGUAAGGCCCUUCGGGUACACGAGCGGCGAACGGGUGAGUAACACGUGGGUGACCUGCCUCUAGCUCUGGGAUAAAGCCUGGGAAAACUGGGUCUAAUACCGGAUAUGACUCCACGGCGCAUGUUGUGGGGUGGAAAGCCUUGUGUGGCUAGAGAUGGGCCCGCGGCCUAUCAGCUU
Molecule: ribosomal RNA, 217 nt
Filed under: uncultured bacterium
Lineage: Bacteria
Description: partial 16S ribosomal RNA
Rfam family: Bacterial small subunit ribosomal RNA
Source: RNAcentral